Molecule: ribosomal RNA, 457 nt
Filed under: uncultured bacterium
Lineage: Bacteria
Description: bacterial SSU rRNA
Rfam family: Bacterial small subunit ribosomal RNA
Source: RNAcentral
UUGAACGCUGGCGGCAUGCUUUACACAUGCAAGUCGAACGGUAACAGGUUAAGCUGACGAGUGGCGAACGGGUGAGUAACACGUGAGCAACCUGCCCCGGACUCUGGGAUAACAGUUGGAAACAGCUGCUAAUACCGGAUACGAGCUGCGAAGGCAUCUUCAGCAGCUGGAAAGAACUUCGGUCUGGGAUGGGCUCGCGGCCUAUCAGCUAGUUGGUGAGGUAACGGCCCACCAAGGCGUCGACGGGUAGCCGGCCUGAGAGGGUGACCGGCCACACUGGGACUGAGACACGGCCCAGACUCCUACGGGAGGCAGCAGUGGGGAAUAUUGCACAAUGGGCGAAAGCCUGAUGCAGCAACGCCGCGUGAGGGACGACGGCCUUCGGGUUGUAAACCUCUUUUAGCAGGGAAGAAGCGAAAGUGACGGUACCUGCAGAAAAAGCACCGGCUAACUACGU